RNAcentral lists this ribosomal RNA (509 nucleotides) under Spinopygina acerfalx. RNAcentral describes it as "partial large subunit ribosomal RNA". The record is from RNAcentral. Lineage: Eukaryota; Metazoa; Arthropoda; Insecta; Diptera; Sciaridae.
GUCUUUUUGGUUUUAUAUAAAGUUUAACCUGCCCAUUGAAAUAAAUUAAAAGGCUGCAGUAUUUUGACUGUACAAAGGUAGCAUAAUCAUUAGUUUUUUAAUUGAAAACUUGUAUGAAUGGUUGGAUGAAAAAUUAACUUUUUUAAAAGAAAAAUUGAAUUUUACUUUUUAAUUAAAAGGUUAAAAUUUUUUUAAAAGACGAGAAGACCCUAUAGAGUUUAAUAAUUAAAUUUUUAUUAUUAAUAAAAAGUUUAUAUAAAUUUUUAAAAUUAAAAUUAUUUUAUUGGGGUGAUAAUAAAAUUUAAAAAACUUUUAUUAAUUAUUAACAUUUAUUUAUGAUUAAUUGAUCCAGAAAAUUUUGAUUAAAAAUUUAAAUUACCUUAGGGAUAACAGCGUAAUUUUUUUUUAAGUUCAUAUUAAUAAAAAAUUUUGCGACCUCGAUGUUGGAUUAAGAUUAAAUUUUAGGUGCAGAAGUUUAAAAUUUAAGUCUGUUCGACUUUUAAAUUCUU